GUCACGGCCAUGCCUAGAGCGCUCAGGAUUCCCUCCUCGACGAGGCAGUGGUGGCCAGCGGGCACAGGAAAGGCUGGGCACAGCUGCCUUACCACUCAGAGCCAAGAGACAGUGGGCGGCACCCCUGUGUGUCCGCUUCCGUCAUGAACACAGGAGGACAGGCAAGCACGGCGGGAAGGCGGUCUGCAGGACAGGGUUGGCCCGGAGGAGCCCGGAUGACGCUCAGACGGACCGGGGACCCUCGUAACACGCACCGAAUGACAGACACCAACCAGAAUGUACAGGAGUCUCCAGAGGUGAAAAGAAAGAUGGAAUCAGUGACUAAUGGUGCCUGAGGUCAUGACAACCCCGGAGGGGGCCCUGUCCCCAUGACUUGGAAACAGGACUCUAACGUGUCCCCUGAAGGGCAGAUCCCAGGCACAAAAGGCCUGGGGUUCCCCCAGAUCACCACGGCCGAGCUGGUGGCCUCCCUGUGCCAAAUGACUCCAUAUAUGAUGUAGUCUGCACGUUAACAUUUGACAGGUGUCAACUUUUACAUGUAAGAUGACUGCCGUGCUACUAAGAACCAAGAAUUUCAGUACAAGGGGGCAGAGAUGCAAAUAAAGUGGUAAACGAGUAAAAAAAAUCUGAAUUAGAAGAGUCCAUGUGGAAUCAUAUCUCUUUUCUCCUGAAAGAAAGUAGCUCCAGGUCUCUGAACUGCGAAGGGCAAUUAACCACCUGGGAACAACAUGACCCACGGCCAGUAGCCCUCACCCAGGCAGGACGGCUGGACGCCACGCCCUGGAGAGGACCCAGAGCCCCUCGGGAAAUGGGGGACCCUGGGCCUAGGCUGGAAACGCCACGCAGACGUAAUCCCGUGUCCUGGCGGAGAGCCAGGCCCGCAGCCAGGGACGGCUGUGCUCCUCAGGUGGACUCUGGGGCUGAGGAGCCCUCAGACAACGAUGCAUCAAGAGUCAUCGGCCUGGAUGAAAGCGGUCAGCCCUGUUUACCAUGGGCACCUGGUCAGCUGGAAGGCCUGGGCCCUUGUCUGAAAACCACAUCUGCAUGUGACCACUGUCGCUGCAUGUGGCUAAGGAGCAGAUCGGGUCACUGGACAGAAGGGCCUCCCGGCAGGCAGCUGAAACCCCGCCACCCGUGGAGGGUCCCACCCGAGUCCCGGGGCACAGCGGUGCAGAGCUCAGGGCCUGGGUCAGCCCCUGCCUGCGCACCCAGGGGCCUCGGACCCUGGGGGAAAGAGGGACGGGCACUUGGAGCUGUCUGUGGCCAGCUGAGGCUACGGCGCCUGCAGGAGGGGCACUGCUGUCCCUGAAGGCACAGGCCCGGAGGCCCUCCCUCGGCCCGCAGGGACCCCAGGGCCCCAGAGGAGCGCCUCCACACCCAGGCCCGUGUCCUGUGUCGCCCGGCGCCCACCUGGGAGACCAUGCAGAGGGGCAGGGCCCAGGCCUCGAAUCACAGGCCUGAGUUUCCUCUGGAACAAAAUAAUUACCACCUUCGCAGACAACCUGAGCUCGCUGAAAGCAAGGCGGAAGUCAGCUGAGAAGCGGAGGCACGUUUUUAUUCAGAGUCGGAAGAAAGCAACGCCUCUCCGGGAGUUGGUGAUGGACACCGAGGCCUGGUGUGCUGCAGUCCACAGGGUCGCAGAGGGUCGGACACAACUGAGCAACUGAACUGAGCUGAACUGAAAGCCUGUCUGGGUCGCCAGGCCCGUAGAUACAGCUCUGGAAGGGAGAAGCCCAGGAGGAAGCCGGAGCCUGGGGACAGGAUCUGGCCGCCUCUGCCCGCGUGACCACGGCUCCGGCAGGGUGAGGCGGGGUGGCCGCCAGGAGCCAGGCUGCAGGGUUUCCGGGCUGGCUUCCCGGCCGCUGUCUUCAGUUCCCGGGAGAGUCACCUCGUGAGGCUGAAAGUGCUGCUGGGGCCCAGCCGUGUGCACAGCCUCCCUGAGGGGCAGGGCGCCUCCCUCGCCCUGCGUGUGCACAG
Molecule: long non-coding RNA, 1977 nt
Organism: Bos taurus (domestic cattle)
Lineage: Eukaryota; Metazoa; Chordata; Mammalia; Artiodactyla; Bovidae
Source: Ensembl